UGGCUCAGGACGAACGCUGGCGGCGUGCUUAACACAUGCAAGUCGAACGAUGAAGGCCGUGCUUGCACGGCUGGAUUAGUGGCGAACGGGUGAGUAACACGUGAGUAACCUGCCCUUCACUCUGGGAUAACCUCGGGAAAUCGGGGCUAAUACCGGAUAUGAGUGUCCACUGCAUGGUGGAUGCUGGAAAGUUUUUCGGUGAAGGAUGGACUCGCGGCCUAUCAGUUUGUUGGUGAGGUAAUGGCUCACCAAGACGAUGACGGGUAGCCGGCCUGAGAGGGCGACCGGCCACACUGGGACUGAGACACGGCCCAGACUCCUACGGGAGGCAGCAGUGGGGAAUAUUGCACAAUGGGCGAAAGCCUGAUGCAGCGACGCCGCGUGAGGGAUGACGGCCUUCGGGUUGUAAACCUCUUUCAGUAGGGAAGAAGCGAAAGUGACGGUACCUGCAGAAGAAGCGCCGGCUAACUACGUGCCAGCAGCCGCGGUAAUACGUAGGGCGCAAGCGUUGUCCGGAAUUAUUGGGCGUAAAGAGCUUGUAGGUGGCUUGUCGCGUCUGCCGUGAAAAUCCAGGGCUUAACUCUGGACGUGCGGUGGGUACGGGCAGGCUAGAGUGUGGUAGGGGAGACUGGAACUCCUGGUGUAGCGGUGAAAUGCGCAGAUAUCAGGAAGAACACCGAUGGCGAAGGCAGGUCUCUGGGCCAUUACUGACACUGAGAAGCGAAAGCAUGGGGAGCGAACAGGAUUAGAUACCCUGGUAGUCCAUGCCGUAAACGUUGGGCACUAGGUGUGGGCGACAUUCCACGUUGUCUGCGCCGUAGCUAACGCAUUAAGUGCCCCGCC
This 843-nucleotide ribosomal RNA is filed under the name Brachybacterium sp. Its description in RNAcentral is "bacterial SSU rRNA". It matches the Rfam family "Bacterial small subunit ribosomal RNA", at positions 20 to 873 of the family's 1533-position model. Lineage: Bacteria; Bacillati; Actinomycetota; Actinomycetes; Micrococcales; Dermabacteraceae. The record is from RNAcentral.